CUGGUGCCCACAUUGCAGUCAGCAUUUGGCCUCACAUUUUUAAUUUGCUUUGAAGUCUGAUCUUGUCCAGCAACAAGAAGAAGGAGAACUCGACAUUAAAGAGUUUGUUAAUCAUCUCUGCUAGUUCAUAGCCAAUACAAAUUUGUUCCACCGUGUACUUCAUACGCAAUCAUUUAAAAGUGGUAGAUAUAAAAGAAAUUGUUGAAGCUUAAAAAUAACCACAAUAAGCAGCUGUGAAACAGCCACAAACACUCAUUACGGGCUACACCAUUUUCAAGGUAACAAAACAAUGGUUUAUUUUGUUCCCUUCCAGCAAAAUCCAUGCUUCAAAAUCCACUUUUCAUACCAAAUCAGUCUGUCUGUAAGACAAACUAACUGCAGCCCAGAGUGUUUACCUACACACAGCGAAGAGAUGUGCUACGCUGCCUACAAAUUCUGUAACACCACAGCUGUAGUCUUUGGGCUCGUUGCAAACCAGUGAUGGAUAUCUGUUCCUCUGCAUUGCUUCCCUAUCAUAUCUCUUUGUCCUGCUGCUAUAAUCGAUCACAGAUUUUUCCAUCAGGCUUUGUGUCAGGCUGGGAUAGUGAACAUGACUUGCUUAGAACAAACUGCUUCAAAACGUACCAAGCUGAGCUCAGGAGUCAAACUGCUCUAAAAAUGAUUGUUCUGGGCACGUCUGUGAAUCCCAUGCAGUAUCAGGAAGUCAUUAACGUGCUUUGAUGUUAAGGCUUUGGGAUUGCUGUUCUCUAACUAGGAAGCCUGCCACAGCCGUCUCUGCACUGUGGAGCUGGGUUUUAAAUAAUGAGCAUUGCCUGGCUCUUCAUUUUCCUGGUUCAGAAGGAAAUUACUGCUUGGGAGUCAGUGGCUGGGUCUGGAUGAAUUUGCACACAAAUUCGGGGAUUCAAGUUACAAAGUCACACUCGAGCUUUUGUGUUAGGCACUUUCUGCUUGCUAUCAGGAACAAAAAGGAAUGAAAGCAGAACAGCCAUCUCUGCUCUGCAUAGAAAUAUAUUUUAAAGAUUCACAGUGCCUGGUCUUCAUAGGAGAACUAAGCUAUCAGUUCCUGACUUUAAAAGCUCUUCGGGGAUUACUGUUUGUUUUUAUAGUGCGUAGCACAAUUGAGUCCUCAUCUUGGUUGGUGGUUUUAGAUGCACCUGCAGUAAAAAUAGCAAAUGAUUUUAUUUAUUUAUGUUUAUGUGAAGGACAGAGCAUUAUUUGUGGAAGAGAAGUGUAAGGACCUGAUCCCGAUUUGACUAGAGGAGUUUUGGAUUCGUUGUCUUGCAGGACAGCGUAAGGGAGAAGAGAAAAGCGAGGCAGAAAUGAGUGGGAAAUGUUCGUUUUUCUCUGUUAGAAAAAUCAGGAACUUUAAUAAGGU
This is a long non-coding RNA of Gallus gallus (chicken), 1375 nucleotides long. Lineage: Eukaryota; Metazoa; Chordata; Aves; Galliformes; Phasianidae. The record is from Ensembl.